CAGGCGCUACUCCACUAUUCUAGCGUCCGCAACGCUCAAUAAAGGAGGUACAGACAACAACCGCAUGACUCGCGGUGCGGCAGCGUGGAGACCUGUCGUAAUGCAUCCGCCACUUUCGCGGGCGAAUGCGAGGUGGGCAGUUGAUGAAGUUCGUGCCCAUCAGAGUCGGAAGCAAAUGGCA
Molecule: non-coding RNA, 181 nt
Filed under: human gut metagenome
Description: malK-I RNA
Rfam family: malK-I RNA
Source: RNAcentral